Molecule: long non-coding RNA, 1069 nt
Filed under: Struthio camelus australis
Lineage: Eukaryota; Metazoa; Chordata; Aves; Struthioniformes; Struthionidae
Description: lncRNA (ENSSCUG00000015031.1)
Source: RNAcentral
UGCUAAGGUCUGCUUGCAUAUAUCUGCCCUUUGAGGUUUCGUUAGAGGCCUGUUGGAAGUUUUUUCUUCUGGCGGUCAGUUGUUAUAAUCCAUUCAAAUAGCAACAACAUAAUUUUAUUUUAAGUGAUUUAUUUACUGUAACAUCCAAAGAUUGUAAUGAGCCAGAAAUUUCCGCAGGAAUGGUGGCCAAGUCAGCGCCUCUUUUCCUUAGAUUAUCCUUAAUCACUAGGAGCCUGCUAACACUCUCGAGUACAAACUGGAAACAGGUGUCCUUACCAGUAUUUCAUACACUUUUCAUCCGCUGGCCACAAAGUCUUCAUUUGUCCAUCCACUCUCACUGCCUCACUCUGUGACUCCAGUGGGAAGCUCUUCUUUGGCCUGAUUUUUCCCCCUAAACAAAGUACAUGUGGUGGCACCUUGUAAUGGCCUCAGAUGGCUGCAGCUCGCGCGCUGUGACUUGCAGCUGCCUCCGCAGCUCGGCGCGUGGCGCCUGCAGGCGAGCACAGGUUUUCCCUUCACGGGUGACCGGUGCAAUGUGCCAGGAAAUGAAACUACUUGGGCAGCCAGUUGGUAUUAUGAAUUCGUGACAGAGAGAAAUGAUUUUUCUGACGGGCUUCUAGUGAGAGUGAAGUCCGUGGCUUUCUCCCAGCCACCACGUCUCAGCAGGGGAUGGAUCCUGAGUUUUUUGUCCCCAGACCAUGCCGGAGAAGUUGGGAAACGCACUCCAGCCCUUGAGGGUGCCCAUCACUACAUUUUUCUAGUGCUUGUCUCUGGGGGCAUCCGUACCACACGCACCAUCCACCUUGGCUUUGCCUUCUGCUGUGUUUCCUGUGUAUUAUUUAACAACUUCUGGCGCAGAUCCCAUUUCUUAUGCUAUUGGUGGGAAAGGCAAAAAACAGAGGAAGGGCUCUGUCAUGCUCUCGUAUGCUGGAGCCUACGUGGGGAUUUCACGUUUUCCCGGCCAGAGCGUGUCGUGCUGCGUUUCUCACGGGUAAGCUGCCUGCUGCCAAGGCAGCCCUGUCCACUAUUCACGGCUCUGGUGCCAGUGAAGGGGGAGAUGGCAGACUAA